RNAcentral lists this transfer RNA (85 nucleotides) under Dehalococcoidales bacterium. RNAcentral's name for it is "tRNA-Leu". It matches the Rfam family "tRNA". From Rfam's summary of the family: Transfer RNA (tRNA) molecules are approximately 80 nucleotides in length. Their secondary structure includes four short double-helical elements and three loops (D, anti-codon, and T loops). Further hydrogen bonds mediate the characteristic L-shaped molecular structure. tRNAs have two regions of fundamental functional importance: the anti-codon, which is responsible for specific mRNA codon recognition, and the 3' end, to which the tRNAs corresponding amino acid is attached (by aminoacyl-tRNA synthetases). tRNAs cope with the degeneracy of the genetic code in two manners: having more than one tRNA (with a specific anti-codon) for a particular amino acid; and 'wobble' base-pairing, i.e. permitting non-standard base-pairing at the 3rd anti-codon position. Lineage: Bacteria; Bacillati; Chloroflexota; Dehalococcoidia; Dehalococcoidales. The record is from RNAcentral. RNAcentral also lists the same sequence under 1 other name.
GCCGGGGUGGCGGAAUUGGCAGACGCGGCGGACUUAAAAUCCGCUGGAGCAAUCCUUGUGGGUUCGAGUCCCACCCUCGGCACCA